CCUACGGGUGGCUGCAGUGGGGAAUAUUGGGCAAUGGGCGAAAGUCUGACCCAGCAACGCCGCGUGAAGGAAGAAGGCUUUCGGGUUGUAAAGUUCUUUUCACAGGGAAGAGGAGAGUACGGGACCCGUCGAAUAAGGCAUGGCCAACUUCGUUCCAGCAGCCGCGGUAAUACGUAGGUGGCGAGCGUUGUCCGGAUUUACUGGGGGUAAAGGGCGGGUAGGGGGGCUGACAAGUCAGAUGUGAAAUCCGGGGGCUCAACCCUCGAACUGCAUUUAAAACUGUUGGUCUUGAGUAUCGGAGAGGCAGGCGGAAUUCCUAGUGUAGCGGUGGAAUGCGUAGAUAUUAGGAGGAACACCAGUGGCGAAGGCGGCCUGCUGGACGACAACUGACGGUGAGGCGCGAAAGCGUGGGGAGCAAACAGGAUUAGAUACCCUAGUAGUC
Molecule: ribosomal RNA, 442 nt
Filed under: uncultured bacterium
Lineage: Bacteria
Description: partial 16S ribosomal RNA
Rfam family: Bacterial small subunit ribosomal RNA
Source: RNAcentral